Long non-coding RNA from Coregonus clupeaformis (lake whitefish), 695 nucleotides. RefSeq lists it as uncharacterized. The record is from RefSeq and is a predicted model, not a curated record. The transcript has 4 exons. Lineage: Eukaryota; Metazoa; Chordata; Actinopteri; Salmoniformes; Salmonidae.
UCAAAUCAUAGCGAGAUACCUGUGUGGAUAACUUUACAUGCCAAUCAGAUCUAUAUUUAUUUGUCUUUAGAUGAGCAGCGAUCAGGGGGUGGGGAACCAUGGCACAUUUCUGUUUUUAUCCUCUCCAUGUUGUUUUGCCCAUAUACCCUUUAUGGCAAAAUGUUAAAACGCCAAGCUCCACAUAUUGAUAUUCCUUAACUUUACACACAAUACCCCUUAUUAUCAGAAUAUUAGGCUACCAACAAUGCAUUAGUUUGAUUCAUGUAUUUUAGAAAAAUAAAGAAAACUGGCCAACUUCACUAGGCAAAAACAAAAAAUAUUCAGUAAAGAUACCCUGCACCGUGUAGAAAGAGAGGGGGUGUGCUUCCCUAGCGACGGCUAUUGUAAAUAAUCCAAGGAAAAUGGCGACCGAGUACGUCUGGCUGCUGCUGCAACCUCGUCAAAAGGUUGUUACCGUCAAUUUCCUCUUAUUUAAGUCCAGAAAUGGUCAGCAGGCCAAAGUCAAAUACGUCGUCAACACAGUGUACUAAAUUCUGCAGGCUGUGCUGAUGAUCUCUCUGACGUGGAAGUACUAUGCUGACCCAGUGACGGUUCUGCCCAGAAAGUGGCUUUUCUCCUCUAGAGCAAAUGUUGGCCUUCCCAUCUGGAGUAGCAGAUCCUCUCAAGCUUUGUCAGGUUAGAUGGGGAGUGUCGCU